This 383-nucleotide long non-coding RNA is filed under the name Sorghum bicolor (sorghum). Its description in RNAcentral is "long non-coding RNA (SBIC_LNC002568)". The record is from RNAcentral. Lineage: Eukaryota; Viridiplantae; Streptophyta; Magnoliopsida; Poales; Poaceae.
AGUUCUUUGAGGUAUUAAUUCAUUUUUUCGUUUCGAACAACUGUCAUUCCUUCAUUUUUAGGUACAACUUGUACACGACUUACCCACUCACUAUGCGGUACGGGAUAUAUAAUCCCUGCAUGCAAAAGCUUUAAAACCUCUUUCUUUACUACAUCUCUCAUCGCAUUCUAGAGUCUAUUCUGAGGCUCUCCUGAAGGUGUUAUUUCUGGAUUGGUUGGUAUGCGAUAAGUGCAAAGAACAGAGCUGAUCCUUUUUAGGUCUUGGAGUGAAUAACCAAAAGCAGCAUGGUGCUUUUCUAAAACCGUUAUUAGCUUAUAAGUCUCCUCAUCAGAGAGUUUAUCACUUAUAAUCACCAGAUAUUUUUUAUCAUUAUUUAGGAAAAC